Molecule: ribosomal RNA, 442 nt
Filed under: uncultured bacterium
Lineage: Bacteria
Description: partial 16S ribosomal RNA
Rfam family: Bacterial small subunit ribosomal RNA
Source: RNAcentral
CUACGGGCCGCUGCAGUGGGGAAUCUUGCGCAAUGGGCGAAAGCCUGACGCAGCAACGCCGCGUGAGUGAUGAAGGCCUUCGGGUCGUAAAGCUCUGUCAGGAGGGAAGAAUAAAUGACGGUACCUCCAAAGGAAGCACCGGCUAACUCCGUGCCAGCAGCCGCGGUAAUACGGGAGGGUGCAAACGUUGCUCGGAAUCAUUGGGCGUAAAGCGCGCGUAGGCGGCCUAGUAAGUCUGAUGUGAAAGCCCAGGGCUCAACCCUGGAAAGCCAUUGGAAACUACUCGGCUUGAGAGCAGGAGGGGCAGGUGGAAUUCCUGGUGUAGGAGUGAAAUCCGUAGAGAUCAGGAGGAACACCGGUGGCGAAGGCGACCUGCUGGACUGUAUCUGACGCUGAGGCGCGAAAGCGUGGGGAGCAAACAGGAUUAGAUACCCUCGUAGUC